Non-coding RNA from Macaca mulatta (Rhesus monkey), 2839 nucleotides. The record is from the annotation of a RefSeq genome assembly. NCBI's taxonomy places the organism in Eukaryota, Metazoa, Chordata, Mammalia, Primates, Cercopithecidae.
UCCUUUAUCAAAUGUGUUGAAAAUAUUUCUCGUCAUUUGCUUUCAUUUAUUUUCAGCACCUUUUGGUGAACUGAACUUUCUAUAUUACUUUUAAUAAAAUCUAUCAACUUUUCUAGGGUCUGUAUUAUGAUGUCAGGCUCAGAGAGACCAAUGUCACCUACAAUUAGUGUGCAAUUCAUCAUCGUUUAAGUCUGAUUUCCUGUUUUCAGUUUUAUUACAAGUAAAUCUCUAACUUUUUAAGUUAGCAACCCAAGAAUAUUUGUUUCCAUAUGGUAAGUCAAUUCCCAAAGGAGAACAUAGUAAAUAAUCAAGUAUUUCCUUGUGGAUAUUAACAUACAACUUUAGGACAUGAUAAAAUAUUACAUACAUGUGACUCUCUUUCUGGACUUUCCACUGUGUUCCAUGAAUCUUUUCAGUUUAGUGCCUCUCUUCAGCACUGUAGUUUUAUAGUUCAUUUUAUAUUCCAGUGGAGAUUGUUUCUCUCAUUACUUUUUUGUUUUAAGGAUUUUCUGUGCAUUCUAAUGUGAUGGCAGUUCUCUCCCUUCUCAUUUUUAAACCAUGAGAGUUCUAUCCCAGGCAGGAUUUUCCUGGCUCCAAGGCAGGUGAGCUUCCCUCCUUCACAAGGACCCCGAUGACUCAGCUUUCAGAGCUGCUCCUGUGGCAGCCUCAAGUCCUGUACAUGCGGUCGAGAGGCAGAGUGAGACCAACCAGAGUCCUCUGCCUUUCUCAUUCCCAGCUGUGAUGUCAGCAGAAACUGAACUCUCUGAGCUGGGUCAAAACAGCAACCAAAAGGGACGUUGUUCUACAUUUUAUGAAUAUCUUAAACAUGUGUCUAAAUUUUUUUUUUUUUUACAGAAGAGGGGAAAAUCUGUGUAUGCACUACUGAAUUUUCACAAUUAUUUUACUAUACUUGUUUUAUCACCUAUAUCUCCAUCUAUGAAUCCAGGUGCACUGCAGACAUCGGUCAGCUUUCUGAGGGUACGGUUGCUAGGUAAAAUAUGCAAUACUCAGGAAAUUUGGAAGUUCAGUUCAAUAACAAGUUUUUAGCUUAAGUAUGUACCAAAUAUUGCAUGACAUGGCACCCUGUAUUACUUUAAAAAAAGAAACAACUCACACUUCUACUUGAAUGAAUGGAAAUCCUCUAAUAAAGAGAUCACACACACGGGCACACAUUCCCAACACACACACACACAUACACACACACACAAACUCACACAGGAUCACACAUACACCCGUCCCACCCCCACACAUCCAUUUACCUUAGAGGAGAGUCCAAGACCCACCAACAUGCCUGACCCUCAGUCCUGUUAAUACAGCAGGUUCAGACCUUCUCAGAGUGCCCCUCAGUGUUGCCUCCAGUGUCCUUGCAGACGUGAAAAGGAUGGUGGUUUAGGGCCCUAAUCAGAAGCUUCCCCGCAGAAUGAGGGCCGGGCAGUGGACUUACCUGCUGUAACUCUGAAGUGCUGGGUGUGAGCCUGCUGUGAGACUGCCCGCUUCAAGGCCUGAGACUGUUACCUCCAGGGUCAGCUUCCGCCACAUCUGCACUCUCUCUGCAGCAGGCCUGAGCUCUCCACGCUCCGGGCUCUCUCCUGCAGAGGGCCUGCUCUCAGCUGCCACAAGAGGGCGCAGGAGAACGGACCUGAGCAGAGAGGCAGGAGCUCCACUGCCGGGUCCUCCCAGGCACCACCCUUGCUGGGAAGAAGGCUUGGGAGUCCCCUGAGACAGAUCCUCAGUCACUUCUCUCUGCCUGUGUCUCAGGAAGACCAGCUCCUCCUACUGUCUUCUGUGCUAGGGAUCACUUCCUUGUUGAGUGGGACCUGAGUUUUGAGAGGAUCUUCUGCUCCUCUUCAUCUGAUCCCUUUCCUUUCAAGGCCCAAGAGAGGAAGGCAUGUGGUGGGCCCCAGUCCUGCUUCUAGCUCUCCUGUCUCCUGCCAGUCAGAAAUCUUCCAAUUUGGAAGGGAGAACAAAGUCAGUCACCAGGCCAACUGGGUCAUCUGCUGAAAUCACCUGUGAUCUUCCUGAAGUCAGUAGCUUCUACAUCCACUGGUACCUACACCAGGUGGGGAAGGCCCCACAGCGUCUUCUGUACUAUGACACCUCCAACUCCAGGGUUGUGUUGGAAUCAGGAAUCAGUCCAGGAAAGUAUGAUAGUUAUGGAAGCACAAGGAACAACUUGAGAUUGAGACUGCGAAAUCUAAUUGAAAAUGAUUCUGGGGUCUAUUACUGUGCCAACUGGGACAGGCACAGUGAUUCAGACCUGCUGAACACCACACUGAAAAUCUGCCGUGUGGCUGCUUCUAGUACACAAGACAGAACCACCCCCUCUCAUUUCCUGCCACCAAAUUUACUGUAUGCUGAACAAGAGAAACACAGCUUAACUCCUGAUCUCCCCUACAGGAUUACACUCCCCUGGCAGCAGCUGCCUCCUGUUCCCCACCCUCCCCCAGGACUUCCCUGAAGACCAAGCUGCCAUCUCAGCUAAGCCUCAGCGAAGCAGCCUGGCUGAGAGCAAGGUUCUUUAGUUCUCCUAGGACGUGGGGGAGGCCCACUCACUCUGCUGCCUAGGACAGACAGGUACACCUAGGGUCCAGCUGUGAAGCAAGAUAUUUUGGACAGCAAAUGGGAAGGGUAUUUAUACUGAAUCGUGUAUCCCAUGAUCCAGAGAUCACAGCUGAGAGUGGUGCUUAUUCCUUAUGUCUAUAACAAUAUAAGUAAUGCCAUAAUUACCACUAAAACACCAGGCCUAGAUAUACAGUUGAACAUUCUCUCCCUCUGCCUUCCCUUUUAUUCUCUCUCUCUUCUUUCUUUCUUCUUUGGUUGCUUUUAUUAUUUUUCUCAC